RNAcentral lists this long non-coding RNA (10306 nucleotides) under Mus pahari (shrew mouse). RNAcentral describes it as "lncRNA (MGP_PahariEiJ_G0003311.1)". Lineage: Eukaryota; Metazoa; Chordata; Mammalia; Rodentia; Muridae. The record is from RNAcentral.
CUUUUCUUUUUAUACUCCUUGUGUGGGCUUUUAAGGCAGGUCUAGUGGCAGUGGGGCUGGCUCAGUGGAUCCCUGUCAGUCACUUUGCUCUGUACUAAGUGUACUUUCGUGCCAUUUAAGCAGCCGAUGGUGUCACUGGUGCUGAGAGUGUAGCUUCUACAGCUCACACUGAAGGCUCUGGAGACCCAGGAGGGCAUGAGUUGUUUUAAGAUACAUGGCCAUUUGACAUACCCGUGUUAAGUUCAAUCUUGCUACAAAAGAAGGUCAUUUGUACUUCCUGACCCUGAAAGCAAGAACCAUGUCUCUUUAAAUCUACUGAGGAAGAUAUUCCUUCUGGCCCACAGGAUGCCAAAAUGACUCGAUGAUUUAUUUAUGCAGCGCUUGGCAGCCCAUCGUCCAGAUUGUGGCUGAAGCUGAAUUUUAUGAGCCUUCCCCCAAUCACUGGGAGAAUGGUAGAAGGAAUGAUGAGCCUUCCCUGAAGGUUCCAGGCUCUUCCUGCCACUAUUCUCUAGGGUGGGGCCACCUUCAUCUGGUUCCAGGAUACAGCAUGCCCAGGUCCAAGGAGUCACCCCUUUGGUUACAGUCACUAGACUUCAUCAGGCUCUCCUGUACUUUUUCAGGGGCCAUCGCUCUACAGUCACUAUAGAAAACUGUAGCAUCACCGUAAGCAUCAGUUCACUCCCACACUAUCAACCCAAAUAUGAUUGCUGUUCUGAUCAAGGCUGACAGUUUGUCACACCCUGCUGCUGCAGAGGCCAGACCAUUUUGAAAGACAAGAAACAGAAUGGAAAAUGGAGAGGAGAGCCCAGCAUGACUUGCGCUGUGCCAGAGGAAUACGUGUGAAGAAAGGUCUUGAAAGAGCCAGGUUGGUCCAGACCUGCUGGCAUGCCUGCAGCCCCAUCCACCGAUUACCUAAUACACUUGUGACAUCUGCUUUCCUUGUUGUGAGAAAACACAGGGAGGAAGUGUGUUUAGGAGGGGUGAUGUUUGAGCUACCCACCCGGCAACACCGGAAGUUUCAUUUCCUUCCAUUGGUAAGGGAAGACAUCUGCAACCCUGAACGUGUUUCACUGUAGAACCUCACUAGGAAACGCAUCGGUAUUUAUUAAAGAUGAAUUAAAAGAAGGAGAAAAAGGAAAAAUGGGAUAAUGAAGAGGAUAGAUGAAAGAAAAAAAAAGAAGAAAAGGGAAGAGAGGAGGAAGGGACAGAGAGGGCAAGAAAAGAGAAGAGAGAGAUGAGAGACCGACCGGGACUUCCCACCUAACCUUACCAAACUUUCAGUCGAGCUUUUAAUGGGAUACUAUUCCCAAGAGGAAAUUCAAAAAGAUAAGCACCUUGAAACAUCCUCCUUUUUAAUUGUACUCUUUCAACUGCCAGGAAAUUAAUUAGAUAGGACAAAAAGAAAUUUUUCUACCUUAAUGAAAAGAAGCCAACACCCGGGAGCAACUGUCUUUGCUUGAGAACAGUGUCACACGUCCAAAGCUGCCUACGAAGUGUCUCCUGCCGGGUUUAGGCAAGAAACUGUGGCAGAAGUCUGUGAUGUUAUACCAAGCCUGGGAAUUGUACGUGGUCAUGUCAGUGUCCAGUGCACCAGGUGACACAGGGACCUGCCAGGCACCCCUCCUCCAGAGAGACUGCCAACUAUAUGUGUCGCCUCUCUCCCUUAGGUUUCUCAGACACUGCGGCCUUCCUCCAAUCACCUGAUACAUGAUACAAACCUGAUAUACAUGAUCCAUGAUACAAACAGUAACAAAACAAAGCGGUAAACAAUCCAACGUGGAAAGCACCUACUAAAACCAAGAUUUAAUUUCACUGAAAUAAAAUCACAACAACAAAAAAACUCCAAGUGCCCUUUCUUUGCAUAACAUAUUUCAUGGUGCCCAACUACAGAGGCCAAGCCUGUGAUUUACAUCAAGCAAAGGGUCCUGGGAGAAAGAGAAGGAAAGACCACCUUUGACUGGGACAAGAUUCCUAUUUGUGUCAAGGUGAGUUAGGGAAGAGAUGGUUGAGGCAGAGCAACUGACUGCAGUCUUUAUCCAGUUUGCAUGGCUUUGGGGAAGGCCUUUUAACUGCAAGCUGGAUGGUCCAGAUGCUUCAUCAUGGUUCUUCCCUCUGAGCUUCCUCUGGCUUCUGGCUCCUCUUAGUCACGCUCACAACAGGGCUUUAUUAGGACUCUGGAGCAUCGGGCAAGCUCAGGUCUCACCUCUCCUUUUAAUUCUGCAGGAGUCUAUACCAUCCAUGUACUCCAGCCCUGCAUAGGAUGAGUUCUGGAAUUCAGCUGGAGCCCACAGAGAGUGGAUGUGAAACUUUUCCGUGGAACAUAGGAGCUGUCUGUACCAGCAUGGCUUCAGCCAGCAAUGGGCAUUAACAGCUCCUGCCAGAGGAGCAAGAGGCAGCCACUGAGCUAUAGAGAUCCACACUCCGUCCCUCAUACAACUGCCCGCUGUGACCAUCUUCUCCUUUCUGCUUUAUUACGCCUGAGAAGCACUUCAUAUGAUAACCUUCCCUUUCACUCUGGCCUGGACCCUUAUUGAAAAGGAAGAAGCAAUGGAAAAGAUCAGACAAGCAGUACUGUUCAAGACACUUCCUAAUUCCCUUAACAAGGGUUAUGAAGUUUUGGCUGGGAAAAAGGACAAGGGGCGGAGACAGCAGGUUUUUUUUUUUUUUUUUUUUUUUUACAGAAUGGUUCCGGAAGAGCUGACAGGCUUCGAAUGGCCAUGGGUUGUACGGUUUUGACAUUUAACAAUUUUAUUAACAUCUUUGUUUAUUAUUCACCUUAAUCUUCAGCAUCUGCAUCUGGAAUGAGUGUGUCCAGCUAACAGCCUGUGUCUCAGGCCCUGCCAGGGGAUGAAUCAAUUAGCAGGCGAAGCCAUGAUGCAAACGUUCUGGGGUCACUUGAGAGGCUGUUUGCCUUUUUGAUAGAGAAAGCACACCAUAAAUAACAUCACACCUCAGGAAAUCAUUCCAGGAGGCCCAGAGGCUAGCAGGACGGCUGUCGGGGACAGAGGGGAUAGUUGGCUCCCUGUGUGGAUUUCCCUCAUUCCGGUCAAUGGAAGAUUUGUAGUAAAAUCAAAAUAUUUUAAAGGAGGACAGUGUGCGGUAACAGAGGCAUGUUUAGCUUUUUUUUUUUUUUUAAGUACCAGAACCCAUGAUUUAUAACCCACAGUUACAACCAACUUUAUUAAAAAAAUGACUUCACCCAUAAUAACCUUAUUCAGAAAUCCUUGGAGAAUGAUGUAGUACCCCAAAACAUUAUAAUCUAGCAAAUAUUCACAAACAAUUCCUACUGCUGUCCCUUUUCCCCACCCACUCAGUGGUAGGGUAGGGUUCCCCCCCCCUUUUUUUUAACCAGCUGGGAGAAAGAGGUCCCAGACAAGCUUCUAUACUAUUUUGUGGACAUUUGCCAGAUCGGGUCUUUCAAAUCACCCAGGACAGAGGUUGCCUCCUGGCUUUGAACUUUAUCUUCCCCAACCUGUGCCCUAGGCAACAGCGCACAGGAUCCAUUCACCUUCACUGCCUCCCUGAACAUCGCUGUCUCCCUCCCUCCUGCCAGACUGAGAACUUGGAUACCCAGCAUCCAGGGGCAGCUUCAUGAAGUCCCCUCCCUUUUUAAUUGUCAUGGUAACCGACAGCUGCAUUAAAAUGACCAAGACUGGGGGGGGGGGGGAGGUGUCCAAGCAAUGUCCCUUGGGUGUGCCUGGAUCUAGGAACUGGUCCUCUAUCUUAUUAAACUCAGGUGUCAGUCCCUAGCAGUUGUGUUAAAUUUACACCCUCCAAGUGGGUUAGCGGGAUUACAUGUCCAUUUGCAUUAAAACAGGUUUCUGUCAUUAAACUGCCAUACAAUAAGCGUCCUUGGGACAAAUUAAUGAGCUCUAAAUAUCAUCAAGUAGAGAAGUUCACUUCACCAAGACAGCCACCAUGGGGUUGGAGGGGGUGGCGGCUCACUGUUCUCACCCAAGAGAACCGUAAGUGCCAGCUAAAGACGGUCUCAUCCUGCUUCUCCAUCGAAAGAUGAGUGUCAUGAUUUAGAGCCCUCUGAGGAGCUGGUGAGUUCUCCCCUGGCCUGGCCCUAGAGCUCAUCUCUUCCUAUUCCUUAUUCCAGACAUGUUGUUAGCAUUGACCUUGUCUGCUCGAAAUCGCUGAACAACCAUUGGCUUCUUUCCUAGGUGACCGUGCUUCAGCUUCGUUUCUCUUUCCUUGCUUUCUGAUAUUACAGACCAUCUGUGUAUAGUGUGGCCUGUUAACUGAAUGCACCCAACACAGCGCCAGGUGUAGCCACAGAGUGGGUCUCUGCUCUAAAACGCCCUCCUGAGUAUUGUUAGUAGAGCAGUAGGCCCAUGAGUUGGGUGGGGGCCUAUCCUCUGGAAAACUGGAUUUACUGGAAGUUCCUUUCCCAGUUGUCCAAAAGGUAUGUUUAAGUGUGUGUGUGUGUGUGUGUGUGUGUGUGUGUGUGUGUGUGCAUGUACACACAGGAACACAUGCCCAUGUGCCAUAGUACAUCUGUGGAGGUCUUGAAAAAGUUGAUUCUUGAGUUUUACCAUGGGGAUCCUGGGAGUUGAACUCAGCUUGCUGCACUUAGAAGCGGGUACCUGAGCCAUCUUGGAAGCAGGUACCUGAGCCAUCUUGGAAGCCCCUAGGGGAGACUUCUUUUAAGACUGAAUUCUUUCUGUUCACAAGCAUAGUCAGUGUUUGCCCUCACAAGUACAUAAUAGGUAUAAGUAGAAAUUAUUUAUCAGAAACCAAUAAAUAAAGCCCCAAGCUUUCUCUUACAUGAACCUCCUCCACCGCGCUCUGAUCUCAUUUCUGUGCGGCUCUAACAGGGGACAGUAAUGUAUGAUUGAGACACUGCUACAUUUAGGAAUGACAAGAUGGGCAUUAUUAAUAGCUUAAUUGACAUUAAGGCAAUUACCCCUACCCUUAUUACAGUUUGUAGAAUUACUCAGAAAAUAUUGGCUGAGGCCUUUCUUUCCCUAGAGCUACCCAAGGAUACAGCAUUUUAUUUCAUGCCAGAUCUCGGCUUUGACAUUAGAUACUUAGCCAUAGAAUGAUUCCAGUAAAUCAUUAUAAAUGCAUUAUAAUAAAGAUGUUAUGAGCUAUCAGAUAUUAACCCCCAACCCCUAAAGAGAGAUAAAUAGUUCAGUUGCUUGGUUCCCACUAUUGUUUCAUCAGAAAUAAGCUUUUGCAAGGAGCAACUGACUAAUGAAUUAUAAAAUGGUGUGCUGAGCUCAGAUAAUUAAACAAUGCAUUUUAGUGUCUAGUGCAAGAUGAACACUAAAUCAUACACAGAUAAAAAAGGGGAAAUAUAAACCCAGGCCCAACUCCUAGUCUCAAAGAGAGUUAAGGUAGUAGGCUACAACGCAGCAACGUGUUGGACAUUUUCUCACCUGAGUACAGGGACCUGCCAAAUAAGAUCAAGAUACAAAUGGAUUAAUUCAACCAAGAGACAGAACAGAGUUCUGGAGGUGUUAAUUUCAGAUAAACCUACAAGGUUAUUUUAAAGGGGAUUUUACAUGGAGGGUACUUUUUUAUCCCCCAAAGUGCUCAUGGGCCCUAAAUAAAUAUAAGAACCCAGAAGUUUCUAAGUUUCCUCCGACUCUCCAGAUUUUACUUUUGAUCUCUGAACUCACAGUGAAGCCUAUUAAUGGGAGUUUGCAGAUCAGGGUAGAAACCAUUGUGCUGACGAUUGUCUUGGCCUUAAAGCAUUGCAAAGACAAAGCCUGCUGUGGAGGUGGGGCGAGGAGGAUUUGAGUUCCCAUCACUACGCUCAGGUAGGUCUCUACACCCUACAAGGCUCCAUCUAGUGGUCAACUUUAGAUGAUCAUGACAUUUUUCUCUGGCUUUGCCACCAAGGUUGGUCUGUUAAUUAAUUACGUAUUUUAGUCAUCCAGCCUCCCAAAAGACAUGGGGACCACCUUAGGAUAGCUUCUUGUUUACUGCUCAAGCUUCAUUAUUCUAAGGAUUUCAAAGAAAAACUGCCUCAGAUCAUUCAGGAACAAGGGCUGACCACCUGUGCCCAGGGACAGGGCUUCUGUCAACUCUGGGUCUAUGGUGAAUCACUUGGUGUUUUCCUGUGCUCUGGUUAACCUGGGCACCACUGCUGAAUCCUUCCAUCACAACCACUUCAGUUUACCUGACCUCUCUAAAGUUUAUUUCCUUCAAAGGUACGAUGAAAAUAAUACAAUAAUGCUUACCCAUUCCAUCAUGUAGACAUGAAUAAGUCUACUCAUGCAAAAUAAUUGUUAUCUCUUUUCAUUUUAUUAUCUCAUUUUUAAUCCUAUGUCUCUCUUUACCCUUUAUCUUUUCUUCUAAUCCCCAUCCCCUGCCCCUCUCUCUCUCUCUCUCUCUCUCUCUCUCUCUCUCUCUCUCACACACACACACACACACACACACACACACAUUUGUAAAUCUAUGACUUGAAAACUUCUGCCAAAUUUACUCAAGCAGUCUUCCUUGAGUCUUGCACGGGGCUGUUUGUGGUACCCAUCCGGUAAGAGCUACCUACCCCCAGCUACAUUAAUCAUCACAGCUACUGGUAACAGUUAAUGUCUUCCGACUGCUUAAUAUAAGCCAGGCGGCAUGCUAAGUAUCAUCAGCUUGUUAAAUUUUCACAAGCAUAUGAGGCAAGUACUAUUUUCAUCUUCAUCUUAAGGGAAAUUAAAGCUUAAAGAUGUUAUGUAACUUGCUGAAGGUCAUGCAAACUGCAAAGCAGAAAGCCAAGCUACUUGCUAAGGAUCAGCCUGGAUCUUCAGGCUGAUUUUUUGUCAGCUCUCUCUUCUUUUACACUGGCCUUAUCAAGGGACCUCAUGAGCAUGUGCCCAACUCUUAGCUGGAGUGCAACUUGGUUUACAAUUGCCCCAAAGUUACUUAUUUUGAAACUCCCCGGACAUUAUAUAAUACCACCCCCAAAAGACUUGUAUUACUAUAUACAACUUCAUUUCACUUUGAAAGAAUAUGUCUGCAGGAGGUGACACACUUGGUUGUGCAUUCAGGUUGGAACAGUCCCGCCUCACUUGACACCUUGGAUGGCUGGCAGCCACCCUCCACCACUGUCACAAGAGACUGAUAACCUCCCAGUCUUGCUCAGAACACUGGUGCUUCCUAACGACCCAAGACUCACAAAUCUCAUCCCUUCCUUAAUUGAAGGUGUAAAUGAAGGGGAGGGAGCAAUCCAACCUUAGGGAUAAAUUAUCUUAGCAAUCUAAGAUUGCUGUAUUGUCAGAUAAAAGGCAGGUGUGAGUUUGCUGAAAGUGUGGUGCUUGGAAACAAAAGUCCACACAAGGAGGUGCAGUGAGGUUAUGGGGGCGUCUGCGCAGCAAACACGACAGAGGCAAGGAGGGGGGCUAGCUGAAAGUAGUGGUCUGUUUGCUUUAGGCUUGUCUCCACUUGUACUUCAAAGCACAUCAGAUGGACAUUUUUUUCCACAGUCUUCACACAUGGUCCUGAUUCUGACUGAGUGCCGUGGAGAGUCACUGCUAGCGUCUCAGUGUCAGGCACACUGUCCUUUGAGGCACACGGCAGCUGUACUACUUGGCUCCCUUGCAGCUGGACAAGCCAGUGGUCUGUCUACUAUUUUGAUCGGAGCUACUGUGUGUGCCAAAAGCACGUCCACAGAAGACCCUCUAGCUCUCUCUCCCUGCAGAAGUGACCUUGGCAGCAUAUGUUGAGAGGGCUGAGUACUGGAUAGCCUGGAUUCCUAAAAGAUUUGGUGCAGCCCCAUGUUCGACUCACAGCAUCAGCAAGAAGUAAACUUCUGUUAGACUAAGCACUGACAUUUGGAGGUUGUUUAUUACAACAACAAAACCCAGCCAAUCCUGACUAAUCCAGGAGCUGACAUUUUGUUCAGAAAAUAUGGGCCUCUUCUUUCCAAGUCAUAAGCCGGUAUUCCUUUUCCAAUAGUUUGAUUCACUCACUAAAUAGUUUAAACUUUUCAUCCUGUCGGCAUACUCUCAGAUGCCUAAAACCACCAGAAAGAGCUGGGAUUGUACCAAGUUCUGUCUUGCCCUUCACCAUCGACAAGUAAUUGUUGUUAUUCUCUAAUAGACAGAAGAACAGAAAAGACAAGGUUGGUCUUUUCAGCAUCACAUAGGAUCAUGUGACCACGAAAGGGGGAGAAACUGUGAAGAGGAAAGAGCAUACGAUGGCAAAGAGUAAAAAGCAAAUAUAGGCGGGAGAAUCAGAGAAAAGACCGACACAAAAACGUAGGCACUGUCUUUGCAGUUAGCGGUACCCAGUUGCCUGCAGAUAGGUUCCACUCCUUGUGGAGACACUCAGCAUCUUUGACUUCUGCAUCUAUACGUUUGCAUCUAUAUGUCUAGCUUGCCAUGGUACUCAAGGAAAAUUGGCUGAAAGGGUAAAUAAAGGCAGGAGUCUUGCAUCUUUACAGUCUUGAAUGCUUGUGGAGCUAAGUGGUCUGUGACUAUAAAUGGGUCUUCCAUCACACCCUGAGAGACAGGACCGAAGAGGAGAGCAAUAAGUGUGUUUGAAUAGCUCCUUGUAAUCUUUAAACCCAAGUCCUUGAAAAGAGCAACUAUGAGGUCAGAGCAAUAAUUCUUUGUCCUAGAAGCAGGACACCGCGGAUAACUCGGGGCAGUCCAUUUUUUAAAGCUCUUCACAUAAACUGGUUAGAAAUGCCCUUGUUUUGUUUGUUUCUGGCUGGGCAGAAUGGAGGAUAGAUACAGUGAGCACGGAGGUGUCUGUGACCUUGAGGUGGGGAGAGGUGGGAGAACGGAGCGGAAUGCGAUUUGCUGAGUAACUGUUUUAAUGCUUUCCAUGGAAGGGAUGAAAAUGUGCGGUGGGGUAGAAGAGGAAAAGCUGCGACUCAGUCACUGGAUAAGGCCCUGGGAACCCUUAGUAGAUGAUUCAGCUCAUUACAGGAUAAUUCCCCUUCUCUGAGAUCUGCAGAAUGGCACUGGUCAAGCUGCCCCCCCCAAACCCUAUUCAAGAAUUCUUGCAGGCAAAACUAAUAGGAUCCAGAAGGUAGCUGGACCUCUCUCUGGUGAGGAAAGCACACAUCUAGGUUUCUAGUCUCAGGGAUUUAUUGGUACAUGAUGCCAUGACUCUAUGGUUGUGUGUGGGGGUCAGUCUGAAAAGCUCAGAGGCCCAGCGUUUGACAUGAGAAUGCAAACACGUGAUCUGUCAGCUGCCACAUACUAGCUGCAUGGGGACAGCAGCGACAUAGAACAGACAUGAGCCAUGAGCCACAUAGGGAGCCAGUCUCGAGUCCCAUCAAAACACAGCACAGGCUGUGUUCCAUCCAAACAAGCUUCAGUUUGAAAGAAACUAAAAAUCCCUUGGCUUGAGCAUCUCUUAGGAUGAACACUAAACUUCCUAGUUUAAAUCCAUCAUUUUCUAUCUGCCAUAGCAAACUAUACUCCUCUCUGUUUAUCAGAAGAAUGAACAUUCUUACUUCCCUAGUUUGAAUACCCCAAGUUGUGAGCUUUUCUUUUGUUUCCCCCCUUUGACCUGACUAUCUUUAUGGCAACUGGACACGAGCUGAAGUCAUCUGCCAGGAGGCCAUCUCAAAGGGGAAGGAGGAAAAAAGCCUUCAGACUAUAGGGAGACAAGCCUGUGCUGUAUUUUCUUAAUUAGUGAUUGGUGGGGAAGGGCCCAGCCCAUUGUGUGUGGGGACACCUCUGGGCUGCUGGUCUUGGGUCCAAUAGGAAAGAGAGCUGAGCAAGCCAGUAAGCAGCACCCCUCCACGGUCUCUGCAUCACUCCUGUCUCCAGGUUCUGGCCCAGUGUGAGUUCUUACCUUGAUUUCCCUCAAUGGACUGUGAUUCAGGAUAUGUAAGGCAAAUAAACCCUUUCAUCCUUAAGUCGCUUUUGGUCAUGAUGUCCCUUCAUAGCAAUAGUAACCCUAACUGAGACAGAUUCUUUAUUCAAACCCUUUCCUUUAAGUGCUUCUUGAAUUUGUCCUUGUCUUCUUGCCUGGAAUAUACCGAGGUAGUAUAUCUAAUUCUCAACCAUUGCCUUCCUAUAGGAAACAUAAAACACACAAACAAUGAAAUACUGACUAUCCCAUAAUCCAUGCAGAAAUGAUGAGUGUUGCAAUAGCAACGGCUCUAAGUGCUGGAGAGUUUAGGUCUCAUGUAAUUUUAUUGUUAUUAAUAAAAUUAAUUUGUUAAAAUUAUGUUGAAGGAUAUAGACUUUGGUUGAAAAGGAGUCUUAUUGGGUAACCCAGAAUAGCUUCAAAUUCAUAAUCCUCUGCCUCAGCCUCUGAAAUGCUGAGAUUGCAGGUCUAUAAGUCCCCAGACUAAAUUCUAUUAUUACUUUGAAGCGGAUGUUUCUCCUUUGUCCUCUUUUUCACU